This 2551-nucleotide long non-coding RNA is filed under the name Homo sapiens (human). RNAcentral's name for it is "HSALNT0190192". The record is from RNAcentral. Lineage: Eukaryota; Metazoa; Chordata; Mammalia; Primates; Hominidae.
CAAGUCCCCGCGCGGCGGAGUAGCAAGGCGGGCGGGUAGAGGCCGACGCGCGCCCAUUGGCCGACUCGGCUGCGGGCGUCCCCGUGGCCACGUGACAAUAACACCGCUCCAGCCGGGGGCCUACGCGCGGGAGAAAGUGGAGCUGAGAUUGUAGGAAAUUCAGAGUUAUAUUUUCCAGCCUCUCCAGCCAGAAGUCUCCACUACGUCGUGGGAAACAUAUAUCAAAUGGAGUUGAAAGGCAAAAGGAAGUGAUCAGCGCCACAAGAUGUUGAAACUAAUGGAGACCGCAGAGAUCAUGUGCUAAGGGGCCUUCCUCCUCUGGGGUGGGAGAAGGAAUGUUCUCUGGAGAAAUCUGUAUGAUAGAAUAGUGAAGGUAACUGGCCUGAACUACAGCUCUUGAGCCAUCUGGUUUCACCUUCAGGGAGGUGCAGAGAGUGCUGGAAUGGAGGGUUAAUUGACCAUGGUGGAAAAGAGAGAAACAUUUUGAGGUCCCACUGAAGCUGAAUGACUGUGCAGGUUGAUACACUGGACAUUUUCGGUGAAACCUGUGUGAACAGACAACUGGAGGGUCAGAUGAUUUAUCCUCUCCCCAGUACCUUGGCACAAGCCUAGGCUACAGAAUGAGAUGCACGUAAGAAGUCUGUGACCUGGACCAGAGCAGCCCAGCUGAACACAUGCUGGAUUGGAAGAACCACCUUUGACCUGAAGACCUGUGAGUGAGAAUAAAUGCUGUUUGAGAAAGGAGUUUGGAGACAGAAAGACGGAAGAGUUGAUAUUCCGCUCACAGAUGUCAAUUUUCAAAGAAAUUUCUGCCCAUUAUGGAUGCACCACAAAUACUAAAGUCUAUGCAAUAUAUAUUUUGAAAAGAAUUUUUUUCGUGAAACUGUAAUUUUCGUUCAUAAGAGUAUAUUUCCUGACUUAGCAUUUUAUUGACUAGAUUAAAAUUUUGUUCCCCAAAGUAAGUGUGUGUGUGUGUGUGUGUGUGUGUGUGCACGCACACGUGUGUGUGCAUUCCUGAGGAUUAUUCUAAGGCUGAACUCCUUCAUAGAAAUGGAAUUUUUCUCUCUAUGCUCACAUUUUAAAACAGCUCACACAAGCCAGGCAGAAACUGCCAACCCCUUGGUUUCUAAUUCUUUGUGCUAGUUCUAUUAGAAGGGGCAAGUGUAAUCUGACAAUGGGAAACAAUACACCCUUUCUCAUAUUCUUUAUCAACAUACAUAAACUGGAAGAAAGAAAAAGAAAGAGAGGGGUACAGAGGGAGGAAAGGAGGAAGAAAAAAGAUAGGAGGGGAAGUAGGAAGAGAGGAGAAGGGGACUGUAGUGGGGGAAAGAGAGGAGAGACAGAAUCUUUCCACUAAAGUUAGCAUCUGAGAGAGAGGCCCACGGAAUUGAUUUUUUUUUUUUUAUCCCUUUGGCAAACCAGCAUUUGGUCUUUGCUUUGGUUAUCCUGAGAUAGUGCUUUGUUUACCUGAGCUAGCUGGCCAUCUCAGCUGUGACAAUUUAAAAUUAGGCCACUAUUUAUAAUUCAAGCUAUGUGUAAACAAAACAAAACACAAUACAACCAAUGAAGGAGGUUUGUUUGUUUGUUUUUUUAAAAGGUAGGGGCAUUUUGUAAAUCAGACAGAGAUAGCUUUCUUGAAUAAAAUGACAUUUUUAGUUAUUUCUUUGUCUUGAACUUUCUCCUGAGACACCUUCUGGCUCACUAGUCACGAGGAACUGAAGAGGAACUGAAGGAAUUCUAAACAUCCCCAAAGCCUCUAGUGAUUCUCCAGAUGUGUCUUUUCAAGAGGCUGGCGACUUGUAGGGAGGGUGGAUAUACCUUAAUUAUUCAGUCACUUUUAACGUUUUACCUAAACUAUUUGUCAAAUAAGUAGUUUUUGCAUUGCUUUAACUGUAUACAGCCAUCAUUUGAUUAUACAUUCUAUCAAAGAUUGAUUGCCUGAUUUCAGGUUUAAUUUUAAGAUUUAAAUGACUGACUCCUUAGCUUGCUCAGUUGUAUUCUUUGUCUCUGAUUACUUACUCCAUAGAACACUGCUUACCUUUAAAUAAAAUGUAUUAAACUCCUUUGUUUUCAGAAUCUCUAAUAUUCAUGCCUAUUGGGGAUUCAUACCCUAAUAACUUGGGCUACUAGUCUGUCAUAAAAUAUAAACUCCAGCCAUAUUAAAUAUGGUAGACUUGCCCUAAAAGUCAGAUUUAUACCUUCAAUAUACCAUGGAAUUUGUAAUACAAAUAAAUUCCUUUUUUUAUAUUGGUUUUAAAAUAAGAAAUUGUAGUCUCUUGAGUUCUAGAGUUUCUGUAAGAACAACAGAAGGAAUGCUCAGCUAAUGUUUAGUACCCAUAUGCUUCAUUAAAGUGACCAGAUGUCCUGCAUUUGUCAAGGGAAAAGGGGAAUUGUUUUCUUCUCUCUCAAAUAUCUCCUUCAAAAAGUCUAUCAUGGAUACAUUUUGUGCCUUCACUGCCCUUUUUAAAUAAUUAUUAUUCAUGCCUUACUAUAAGAACAUUACAACUGGUAACAAACUGCUUUUAAACUUGGGGUUUCAGAUUUUCUAAAG